Small RNA from Flavobacterium sp. FPG59, 79 nucleotides. It matches the Rfam family "Flavo-1 RNA". Lineage: Bacteria; Pseudomonadati; Bacteroidota; Flavobacteriia; Flavobacteriales; Flavobacteriaceae. The record is from Rfam.
UUUUAGCCCCGAUAGCAGCGGUAUCCUUUGUUUUUUUUCUUUAAAAAAGCAAAGAUACAAGCGGAUAGCGGGAAUAAGC